Molecule: ribosomal RNA, 406 nt
Filed under: uncultured bacterium
Lineage: Bacteria
Description: partial 16S ribosomal RNA
Rfam family: Bacterial small subunit ribosomal RNA
Source: RNAcentral
AUUGAACGCUGGCGGCAGGCUUAACACAUGCAAGUCGAGCGAGCGGCUGACGGGUGAGUAAUGUCUGGGAAACUGUCUGAUGGAGGGGGAUAACUACUGGACACGGUAGCUAAUACCGCAUACCCUCAGAUGUGCUCAGAUGGGAUUAGCUAGUAGGUGGGGUAAUGGCUCACCUAGGCGACGAUCCCUAGCUGGUCUGAGAUGAUUACGAGCCACACUGGAACUGAGAAACGGUCCAGACUCCUACGGGAGGAAGCAGUGGGGAAUAUUGCACAAUGGGCGCAAGCCUGAUGCAGCCAUGCCGCGUGUGUGAAGAAGGCCGUCGGGUUGUAAAGCACUUUCAGCGAGGAGGCGUUACUCGCAGAAGAAGCACCGGCUAACUCCGGGCCAGCAGCCGCGGUAAUUC